This 417-nucleotide ribosomal RNA is filed under the name Astrochapsa mastersonii. Its description in RNAcentral is "SSU rRNA". It matches the Rfam family "Bacterial small subunit ribosomal RNA", at positions 362 to 749 of the family's 1533-position model. The record is from RNAcentral. Lineage: Eukaryota; Fungi; Ascomycota; Lecanoromycetes; Ostropales; Graphidaceae.
UAUUGGUCAAUAGCCUAACGGCUGAACCAGCAACUUGGAGGAAUGCACUGGGAAAACCGGUAAAAAGGUGAUGUACCUAGUAGUAUUAGAUACUAGUACCAGGAGGUAUCUCUAGUAUGAUAUGAUAUUAACAAAGUUAAUUAAAAUUCAGAGUAGAUAUUUGAUUAUGACAGUAUUUACUUAUGUCUUGACCAAGUCACGUGCCAGCAGUCGCGGUAAUACGUGGAAGAUUAGUGUUAUUCAUCUUUACCGGGUUUAAAGGGUACCUAGACGAUUAAUAAAACAUUCAAUUGUAAUUAUUAACUAGAGUUUAAUGUAGGAGAGAUUGAGUACGGUGAGUGUAGAGAUAAAAUUCUGUGAUACCACUUAGGGACUGGUAAAGGCGAAGGCAAUUUUCUAUGUAAAAACUGACGUUGA